Molecule: ribosomal RNA, 440 nt
Filed under: uncultured bacterium
Lineage: Bacteria
Description: partial 16S ribosomal RNA
Rfam family: Bacterial small subunit ribosomal RNA
Source: RNAcentral
CCUACGUGAGGCAGCAGUGGGGAAUAUUGCGCAAUGGGCGAAAGCCUGACGCAGCGACGCCGCGUGGGUGAAGAAGCGCCUCGGCGCGUAAAGCCCUGUCAGCAGGGAAGAAAAUGACGGUACCUGAAGAAGAAGCCCCGGCUAACUACGUGCCAGCAGCCGCGGUAAUACGUAGGGGGCAAGCGUUCUCCGGAUUUACUGGGUGUAAAGGGGGCGCAGACGGCGAUGCAAGCCAGGAGUGAAAGCCCGGGGCCCAACCCCGGGACUGCUCUUGGAACUGCGUGGCUAGAGUGCAGGAGGGGCAGGAGGAAGUCCUGGUGUAGCGGUGAAAUGCGUAGAUAUCAGGAGGAACACCGGUGGCGAAGGCGGCCUGCUGGACUGCAACUGACGUUGAGGCCCGAAAGCGUGGGGAGCAAACAGGAUUAGAUACCCCGGUAGUC